UUAAGCGACUAAGCGUACACGGUGGAUGCCCUGGCAGUCAGAGGCGAUGAAGGACGUGCUAAUCUGCGAAAAGCGCCGGCGAGGUGAUAUGAACCUUUGACCCGGCGAUGUCCGAAUGGGGAAACCCAGUGCAAUUCGUUGCACUAUCGUUAACUGAAUACAUAGGUUAACGAGGCGAACCGGGGGAACUGAAACAUCUAAGUACCCCGAGGAAAAGAAAUCAACCGAGAUUCCCCCAGUAGCGGCGAGCGAACGGGGAGCAGCCCAGAGUCUGAAUCAGCUUGUGUGUUAGUGGAAGCGUCUGGAAAGUCGCACGGUACAGGGUGACAGUCCCGUACACGAAAGCACACAGGUUGUGAACUCGAAGAGUAGGGCGGGACACGUGGUAUCCUGUCUGAAUAUGGGGGGACCAUCCUCCAAGGCUAAAUACUCCUGACUGACCGAUAGUGAACCAGUACCGUGAGGGAAAGGCGAAAAGAACCCCGGCGAGGGGAGUGAAAAAGAACCUGAAACCGUGUACGUACAAGCAGUGGGAGCACCUUCGUGGUGUGACUGCGUACCUUUUGUAUAAUGGGUCAGCGACUUAUAUUCUGUAGCAAGGUUAACCGUAUAGGGGAGCCGAAGGGAAACCGAGUCUUAACUGGGCGUUAAGUUGCAGGGUAUAGACCCGAAACCCGGUGAUCUAGCCAUGGGCAGGUUGAAGGUUGGGUAACACUAACUGGAGGACCGAACCGACUAAUGUUGAAAAAUUAGCGGAUGACUUGUGGCUGGGGGUGAAAGGCCAAUCAAACCGGGAGAUAGCUGGUUCUCCCCGAAAGCUAUUUAGGUAGCGCCUCGUGAACUCAUCUUCGGGGGUAGAGCACUGUUUCGGCUAGGGGGCCAUCCCGGCUUACCAACCCGAUGCAAACUACGAAUACCGAAGAAUGUUAUCACGGGAGACACACGGCGGGUGCUAACGUCCGUCGUGAAGAGGGAAACAACCCAGACCGCCAGCUAAGGUCCCAAAGUCAUGGUUAAGUGGGAAACGAUGUGGGAAGGCACAGACAGCCAGGAUGUUGGCUUAGAAGCAGCCAUCAUUUAAAGAAAGCGUAAUAGCUCACUGGUCGAGUCGGCCUGCGCGGAAGAUGUAACGGGGCUAAACCAUGCACCGAAGCUGCGGCAGCGACGCUUAUGCGUUGUUGGGUAGGGGAGCGUUCUGUAAGCCGUUGAAGGUGUGCUGUGAGGCAUGCUGGAGGUAUCAGAAGUGCGAAUGCUGACAUAAGUAACGAUAAAGCGGGUGAAAAGCCCGCUCGCCGGAAGACCAAGGGUUCCUGUCCAACGUUAAUCGGGGCAGGGUGAGUCGACCCCUAAGGCGAGGCCGAAAGGCGUAGUCGAUGGGAAACAGGUUAAUAUUCCUGUACUUGGUGUUACUGCGAAGGGGGGACGGAGAAGGCUAUGUUAGCCGGGCGACGGUUGUCCCGGUUUAAGCAUGUAGGCGGAGGUUCCAGGUAAAUCCGGUACCUUUUAACGCUGAGGUGUGAUGACGAGGCACUACGGUGCUGAAGUAACAAAUGCCCUGCUUCCAGGAAAAGCCUCUAAGCAUCAGGUAACAUCAAAUCGUACCCCAAACCGACACAGGUGGUCAGGUAGAGAAUACCAAGGCGCUUGAGAGAACUCGGGUGAAGGAACUAGGCAAAAUGGUGCCGUAACUUCGGGAGAAGGCACGCUGAUAUGUAGGUGAAGCCCCUGCGGGUGGAGCUGAAAUCAGUCGAAGAUACCAGCUGGCUGCAACUGUUUAUUAAAAACACAGCACUGUGCAAACACGAAAGUGGACGUAUACGGUGUGACGCCUGCCCGGUGCCGGAAGGUUAAUUGAUGGGGUUAGCGGCAACGCGAAGCUCUUGAUCGAAGCCCCGGUAAACGGCGGCCGUAACUAUAACGGUCCUAAGGUAGCGAAAUUCCUUGUCGGGUAAGUUCCGACCUGCACGAAUGGCGUAAUGAUGGCCAGGCUGUCUCCACCCGAGACUCAGUGAAAUUGAACUCGCUGUGAAGAUGCAGUGUACCCGCGGCAAGACGGAAAGACCCCGUGAACCUUUACUAUAGCUUGACACUGAACACUGGUCCUUGAUGUGUAGGAUAGGUGGGAGGCUUUGAAGCGUGGACGCCAGUCUGCGUGGAGCCAACCUUGAAAUACCACCCUUUAAUGGCUGGUGUUCUAACGUAGACCCGUAAUCCGGGUUGCGGACAGUGUCUGGUGGGUAGUUUGACUGGGGCGGUCUCCUCCCAAAGAGUAACGGAGGAGCACGAAGGUUAGCUAAUCCUGGUCGGACAUCAGGAGGUUAGUGCAAUGGCAUAAGCUAGCUUGACUGCGAGAGUGACGGCUCGAGCAGGUGCGAAAGCAGGUCAUAGUGAUCCGGUGGUUCUGAAUGGAAGGGCCAUCGCUCAACGGAUAAAAGGUACUCCGGGGAUAACAGGCUGAUACCGCCCAAGAGUUCAUAUCGACGGCGGUGUUUGGCACCUCGAUGUCGGCUCAUCACAUCCUGGGGCUGAAGUAGGUCCCAAGGGUAUGGCUGUUCGCCAUUUAAAGUGGUACGCGAGCUGGGUUUAGAACGUCGUGAGACAGUUCGGUCCCUAUCUGCCGUGGGCGCUGGAGAAUUGAGGGGGGCUGCUCCUAGUACGAGAGGACCGGAGUGGACGCAUCACUGGUGUUCGGGUUGUCAUGCCAAUGGCACUGCCCGGUAGCUAAAUGCGGAAAAGAUAAGUGCUGAAAGCAUCUAAGCACGAAACUUGCCCCGAGAUGAGUUCUCCCUGACUCCUUGAGAGUCCUGAAGGAACGUUGAAGACUACGACGUUGAUAGGUCGGGUGUGUAAGCGCAGCGAUGCGUUGAGCUAACCGAUACUAAUGAACCGUGAGGCUUAACCU
Molecule: ribosomal RNA, 2902 nt
Filed under: Enterobacter asburiae
Lineage: Bacteria; Pseudomonadati; Pseudomonadota; Gammaproteobacteria; Enterobacterales; Enterobacteriaceae
Description: 23S ribosomal RNA
Rfam family: Bacterial large subunit ribosomal RNA
Source: RNAcentral